ACGCGAGCUGGGUUUAGAACGUCGUGAGACAGUUCGGUCCCUAUCUGCCGUGGGCGUUGGAGAUUUGAGAGGAGCUGCUCCUAGUACGAGAGGACCGGAGUGGACGAACCUCUGGUGUUCCGGUUGUCACGCCAGUGGCAUUGCCGGGUAGCUACGUUCGGACGGGAUAACCGCUGAAAGCAUCUAAGCGGGAAGCCUCCCUCAAGAUGAGAUCUCCCUGACCCCUUGAGGGUCCUGAAGGGCCGUGGAAGACCACCACGUUGAUAGGCGGGAUGUGGACGCGCUGUGAGGCGUGAAGCUAACCCGUACUAAUUGCCCGUGCGGCUUGACCAUAUAAC
This 338-nucleotide ribosomal RNA is filed under the name Alloalcanivorax marinus. RNAcentral describes it as "partial 23S ribosomal RNA". It matches the Rfam family "Bacterial large subunit ribosomal RNA", at positions 2598 to 2925 of the family's 2925-position model. The record is from RNAcentral. Lineage: Bacteria; Pseudomonadati; Pseudomonadota; Gammaproteobacteria; Oceanospirillales; Alcanivoracaceae.